RNAcentral lists this ribosomal RNA (1437 nucleotides) under Triticum aestivum (bread wheat). RNAcentral's name for it is "partial small subunit ribosomal RNA". Lineage: Eukaryota; Viridiplantae; Streptophyta; Magnoliopsida; Poales; Poaceae. The record is from RNAcentral.
AUGGCAAAUUUGGUCACCAACUGUGGUUUCAGUCCAUCUCCUGCUGUUAAGGCACACUGCAACUCACCAAGUUAUGGCCACAAUUUCAUCCGAUUACAAAAUUCGAAAUCUUCAACUUCAAGUCUGAACCUCAAAUCAUCUUGCAAGAGGUCAAAUAAGUUAUAUGUUACUUGUGCUAGUACUGCUGUACAAGGACAGACACAAACACCUCUUACUGGUAGUCAACAAGCAUCUGGGCAAUCAUCCUCUAAACCCAAAAAAGUUAUGGUUAUUGGUGGAGAUGGGUACUGUGGCUGGGCAACUGCUCUUCAUCUGUCCAACAAAGGUUAUGAGGUUGCUAUUGUUGAUAAUCUUGUUCGACGCCUUUUUGACCAUCAACUUGGCCUUGAUUCACUUACUCCCAUAGCUUCCAUCCAAAAUCGCAUUCGCCGAUGGAAAUCUCUUACUGGGAAGACAAUUCAGCUCUUCAUUGGUGAUAUAUGUGACUUUGAAUUCCUUUCUGAAGCCUUCAAGUCUUUUGAGCCAGAUUCUGCUGUCCACUUUGGUGAACAAAGAUCAGCACCAUUUUCUAUGAUUGAUCGUUCACGGGCAGUAUACACACAAAACAACAAUGUUAUUGGAACGCUUAACGUAUUGUUUGCCAUGAAGGAGUUUAGUGAAGAGUGUCAUUUGGUUAAACUAGGAACUAUGGGUGAAUACGGAACUCCAAAUAUUGACAUUGAAGAGGGAUUCCUCACUAUUACUCACAAUGGAAGAACUGAUACCUUACCUUAUCCAAAGCAAGCAAGCUCCUUCUAUCAUCUAAGUAAAGUGCACGACUCUCACAACAUAGCAUUUACUUGCAAGGCUUGGGGUAUAAGGGCCACAGAUCUUAACCAAGGCGUCGUCUAUGGAAUCAGAACAGAUGAAACUGCUAUGCAUGAAGAGCUGUCCAAUAGGUUGGACUAUGACGGAAUCUUUGGAACAGCACUAAAUAGGUUCUGUGUUCAGGCAGCUGUCGGUCACCCGCUUACAGUUUAUGGAAAAGGCGGUCAGACCCGUGGAUACCUGGACAUCAGGGACACCGUGCAAUGCGUGGAGCUAGCGAUCGCAAACCCAGCCAAGCCAGGCGAGUUCAGAGUCUUCAACCAGUUCACCGAGCAGUUCUCUGUGAACGAGCUGGCCAAGCUGGUGACCGCCGCGGGAGCGAAGCUGGGGCUGGACGUGCAGACCAAGUCGGUGCCCAACCCGCGCGUCGAGGCGGAGGAGCACUACUACAACGCCAAGCACUCGAAGCUGUCGGAGCUGGGGCUGGUGCCCCACCUGCUGUCAGACUCGCUCCUCGACUCGCUGCUCAACUUCGCCGUCCAGUACAAGGACCGGGUGGACACGGCGCAGAUCAUGCCCAGCGUGUCGUGGAAGAAGAUGGGGGCCAAGCCGAAGACGGUCUCUGUAUAG